AAGGCAGGAAGACACUGAGGAAGGCUGCGUCAAGAAGGAGGCAGAAGGAGUUGGGCUUGGUUGUCGCCAACCACUAGAAGUUGGGAGAAAGACAACGAUGAGAUUAGCAGAGGCUCCGGGAGGGAUUAAUCGGUUCAGCGCAUUGAUUACAGACCUCCAGUCCCAGAACUGUGAGAAAAUUAUUUUCUUUUGAUUUGUUUUCUUUUUCUUUUCUUUUUUUUUUUUUUUUGAACCUGGUUUUCGGUAAUGUGUUAGGAAGCCCUAGGCCUUCUGUGUCACAAGAGACAGGAGAACCAGACUUGGGAGUGAGGGCUUCUUCCACCAGGUCCUUUGUGAGUACAGGAGCACGUGUUCUUAGAGCCUGGGCCUGAGGUCAUACCGUUGUAAAACAGACCUUUUGUAACCUUAGGGAGGGCAGCUUUUUGGAAUCCACUCCUCCUGCUGCCUUCAGGGAGUCUGGAGUUGAAGUGCCCUCUGGCUGUCAUUGGGAGCCGAACUGUCUGGAGAGAGGCAGCAGCCCGGAAGAAGCUCCAGACCUUGCUUGUCUAAUGAACCGAAGAAUAAAAACAUACGCACUGGAGCAAAGAAGCACAGCCCUCAGAAGAAAGCGCAGCUGAAUCCUGUCAUUUCCUGGGAGAGACUAAAACCUCCUGCGUGCUAAUCCUGUGUUCUGCUGGGAGCCAUACCCCGUACCUUGUGGACCUAUUUGUCUUUACAGAUUCUGGGAGCACCCUUUUCAAUUGCGUGGCUUUUUUUCUUUUCUAUCAAAACAGAGGCCUGAUAUGAAGAGAGGAACACGUGAUGUCCCACAGCUAGAAACUGGAAAGAGCUCCAUCGGGAAGAUGUGAAGUCAGCCAUCACCUUUUCUGUUCUGCUGUUGCAUUCAUUCUCUGGGGGAAUCACCGCACACUACGCAGGGGCUGCUAAAAGUUCCCAGCAGGUCAAAGCAGACUCCAGAGAUGGAGACUCAUGCUCUGACUGAGAGUAGAUAGGUUUGGUGGUGAGAGCGCCAGCAGCCAUCUCAGACAAGAGGAGGCAGAGGACGGGACCUACAUGUUAAGUAUGGGGGUACAGAGAUUAACACAACUCUCAGAUGACCAGUGAAUCACCUCACCAGGACUGGACUCCCUAUCUCCAAAUUUCUUUGAUUUGAGAGACAAACACCUCCAUGUUAAAGCCUCUAUUACAUUUACCUGGCUGUAUACAAACAAAUUAAUUUUAACUCCUACACCUUCAGAAUCACCAUUUUUCCUUUCUCUGGCUGUAAUAGUUCCCCAGAGUUAUGGUGGUAAUUUUGCUAUCUGUGGUCUGCUGGUUGGCCAAGCUGAAAACGCACUUCCAAUUAACAUGUGAAAAUACUGGCUCACAGUCAUCCCUGGGCUAUAUUGUCCUGUGUCCCCAUCAUUGCAAAAGACAGCAGCCCCUUUCCUGUCACUAGUGACCUAAAGCCUAGUAUUAGCUUUUAUUCUCUCUUUCAAUCAGUUUCCAAAUCCUAUGCAUUCUUCAUUCUCUUGCAGAGCAACGGGAGGACAUCUUAUCUCAGGAGAGAUAAGCAGAACAUGGUUAAUUGUUUCCGGGAGGCUUAACGUCCAGACAGACACUAGUUAAAUUAGCACGCAAAUGCUCCAUGGUAACUGUGUCAAGUGCUACAGAGGGAAGAUACUGAGACCACACAGAGAGGCACAGAGAAGGGUGUGACUAAACUGAAACACCAAGGGUGAAUAGUCUGGCUGACAAUAAGAAGGAGACUCUGGAGAGGGGCAGCACUCCAGGAAACAGCAUUCACAGAGGCUGAAGAAGGAAGGCUCAGUGUAUCCAGCAAAGUUAAAGAGGACACUGGCUAAAGAGGGCACCUGGUGCCCAUGAUGGAUGGAGAGUCCAAGAAGCAGAUGUGACGUACAGAGCAUGACUUGGGACUUCUUCAAAGACCAGAGGGAAUGAAAUGCAGGGUGUUCCUGUUGUAAAGGGCCGGUAGGCAGGGCCCAUAUCUUCCCAUCUCUCCUUUCCCUCCCUGUUCUCUUUCUCCUCCCCUCCAGUCUCUUCAAUCUGCCUUCUCUUCCUGAAACUCACUACACAUGGCCUUGAAGAUCAUUAGUCCCACACUCAGUACCCACCCUUCUACCCACACCCCGAAAUUCUUCCAAAGCAUGCCAACUACAUAAAAUCUGACUUCCUAACGGCACUGACCCCCCGACCCCCAGGCUGCCAUCAUGAGCCUUCUCUCUUGCUUACACAACUCCCUGAUCUUGUCUGAUCUACACUGUGCUGCAUUUUUUUUUCCUCAUCUCCCUCCUUGGGCUGAAAUGUCACUUUCUCGAAUGGCCAUUUGUCCCUUCAGACCUAUCUCAAGUGUUCUCGGAGUCAAUCUUCCUCCUCUACCACGGAGAGCUGAGUAUGCUCCUCGAGGGCGGGG
Long non-coding RNA from Mastomys coucha (southern multimammate mouse), 2413 nucleotides. RefSeq lists it as uncharacterized. The record is from RefSeq and is a predicted model, not a curated record. The transcript has 4 exons. NCBI's taxonomy places the organism in Eukaryota, Metazoa, Chordata, Mammalia, Rodentia, Muridae.